This 625-nucleotide long non-coding RNA is filed under the name Homo sapiens (human). RNAcentral describes it as "non-protein coding lnc-DNAH6-3:1". Lineage: Eukaryota; Metazoa; Chordata; Mammalia; Primates; Hominidae. The record is from RNAcentral.
GUGGGCAUGCGCAUCGGUCGGGGUGGCGGGAACAGGAAAAGGUGAACCCAGAAAUGCUGAGUCAGGCUACCCAAGGUGGCUGUCGGGAGGGUGGGAAUAAAUGGCGGGAAUAAGCAAAAAUGCCAAGUCAGGGUGGCCAAGAUGGCCACUGGGAUGGCGGGAACCCGCGAAUCUGGGAAUGCCGAGUCAGGGUAGCCAAGACGGUUGCUGGUCGCCAUCUUGGAGUCUUCACCGGAGUCCAAUCAAUUGUUUCAGAGACAACCGUUCCAGUGGCUAUAGGAGGAUUAAAAGAGAACAAAGGAGGAUAUUGGGGCAUCAGCCUCACAGAAGUGGGUCAGGAAAGUCAUACCUUUGCUUGAUCUUAUGCUAGAUGCUCCUCUGAGUUAAGAGAAAACAAAAACAGAGCAAUACUUGUGAAGAAAAACGUGCUUCUCUUGUCUCAUCUUAGCACUGAAUAUGCUAAUGGCCCUUCCGGACACCUACCUCAACAGAAACAAUGCUAACCUGAAUGAAUAGAUCCCAGGACAUUCUUUUCGUAAACCCAGUCCAGCCUACAUUCUUUAUUUCAUGUUUUGCCAAACACCAUUACAUUAGAGGUCAUUAGAAACUUGUCAAUAUAUUUAAA